ACGAACGCUGGCGGCGUGCUUAACACAUGCAAGUCGAACGGAAAGGCCCUGCUUUUGUGGGGUGCUCGAGUGGCGAACGGGUGAGUAACACGUGAGUAACCUGCCCUUGACUUUGGGAUAACUUCAGGAAACUGGGGCUAAUACCGGAUAGGAGCUCCUGCUGCAUAGUGGGGGUUGGAAAGUUUCGGCGGUUGGGGAUGGACUCGCGGCUUAUCAGCUUGUUGGUGGGGUAGUGGCUUACCAAGGCUUUGACGGGUAGCCGGCCUGAGAGGGUGACCGGCCACAUUGGGACUGAGAUACGGCCCAGACUCCUACGGGAGGCAGCAGUGGGGAAUAUUGCACAAUGGGCGGAAGCCUGAUGCAGCAACGCCGCGUGCGGGAUGACGGCCUUCGGGUUGUAAACCGCUUUCGCCUGUGACGAAGCGUGAGUGACGGUAAUGGGUAAAGAAGCACCGGCUAACUACGUG
Molecule: ribosomal RNA, 467 nt
Filed under: uncultured bacterium
Lineage: Bacteria
Description: partial 16S ribosomal RNA
Rfam family: Bacterial small subunit ribosomal RNA
Source: RNAcentral